GACAGAGGGGGCAAGCGUUGCUCGGAAUUAUUGGGCGUAAAGGGCGCGUAGGCGGCUUUGCAAGUGACGGGUGAAAGCCCUCGGCUUAACCGAGGAACUGCCUGUCAGACUGUGAGGCUUGAGACCGGGAGAGGUGAGUGGAAUUCCCAGUGUAGCGGUGAAAUGCGUAGAUAUUGGGAGGAACACCAGUGGCGAAGGCGGCUCACUGGACCGGAACUGACGCUGAGGCGCGAAAGCGUGGGGAGCAAACAGG
RNAcentral lists this ribosomal RNA (253 nucleotides) under uncultured bacterium. RNAcentral describes it as "partial 16S ribosomal RNA". It matches the Rfam family "Bacterial small subunit ribosomal RNA", at positions 524 to 776 of the family's 1533-position model. The record is from RNAcentral.